GAUGAACGCUGGCGGCGUGCCUAAUACAUGCAAGUCGAGCGAACAGACUCUGAGCUUUGUCCUGUGAAGAUUUCGGCGCACAGGGGAGUAACACGUGGAUAACACCUCUCUUAUACUGGAAUAACUUCGGGGAACCGGAGAUCUUAUCGCGUAUUAUAUUGAUCCGUAUGGUUCUAAAGUUAAAAACGUUUUUUCUGUAACAUUUAGAUAUGUCCGCGCUGCAUUAGCUAGUUGGUAAGGUAAAGGCGUACCAAGGCAACGAUGCGCAUCCGACCUGAGAGGGUGAUCGGCCACACUGGGACUGAGACACGGUCCAGACUCCUACGGGAGGCAGCAGUAGGGAAUCUUCCGCAAAGGGCGAAAGCCUGACGGAGCAACGCCGCGUGAGUGAUGAAGGUCUUCGGAUCGUAAAACUCUGUUAUUAGGGAAGAACAAAUGUGUAAGUAACUAUGCACGUAGUGACGGUACCUAAUCAGAAAGCCACGGCUAACUACGUG
This 497-nucleotide ribosomal RNA is filed under the name uncultured bacterium. RNAcentral's name for it is "partial 16S ribosomal RNA". It matches the Rfam family "Bacterial small subunit ribosomal RNA", at positions 28 to 507 of the family's 1533-position model. The record is from RNAcentral.